Molecule: small nucleolar RNA, 131 nt
Organism: Mastomys coucha (southern multimammate mouse)
Lineage: Eukaryota; Metazoa; Chordata; Mammalia; Rodentia; Muridae
Product: small nucleolar RNA SNORA17
Exons: 1
Source: RefSeq, a predicted model, not a curated record
CCUGUCCCUAGAGGCAUUGCUGGUGUGGCUACUGUGUCAUGUAUGGUCAGUAGGUAGCAGAGAGGAGAGAAGCUAUGUCUAUCCUCAAUGUUCUCACCUGUGAACAUCUGAAUGAUUUGUAACCUAACACU